RNAcentral lists this long non-coding RNA (4584 nucleotides) under Phocoena sinus (vaquita). RNAcentral's name for it is "lncRNA (ENSPSNG00000000956.1)". The record is from RNAcentral. Lineage: Eukaryota; Metazoa; Chordata; Mammalia; Artiodactyla; Phocoenidae.
GUCUUUUUCCCAUUGUAUGUUCUUGGCUAUUUUGUCGAAAAUUAAUUGACCAUAGGUGUGUGGGUUUUUCUUAGCAAAUUUCAAACACAGAUUAUCUACUACAGUCCAUCUAUUUCACAGCAGUAAGUCAUUGGGUCUAAAAGUGACAUAGCUGAUUUCAUAAACAGUAAGGUGAAGACCCAGCAUGAUGGAACAGUUAUCACUCUAGGGAGGGGUCCACUGUGCCAACAACUCAGAGUCUGUAAUCCCAGCCAAGGGAUUCCAAGAUAACUUGACUGAAGGGGCAUAGUAAAGGGAGAAAAGUUCAGAAGUAGAAGUUAGGACUGGUUCAAGGUCUCAUCAGAUUGUUCAGUAGUAGUAAGGCUUUGGGCAACAUGCUUCUCAAAAGUUACCUCCAUGUACUCUUUCAACUUUUUCACUCCCUAGUCACUAUUCAAUCCACACUAAUCUAGCUUCUAUCCAUCGCCACCACUUAAUGAAAUUGCUCCUCUCAAGGUCCCCAGUAAUCUCCAUUACCAAAGGACACUUCUUUGUUGUCACUUUCUUGAACUCUCAGCAGCAUUCCACAUAGGUUGCAACUCUCCUUGACACACUGGUCUCUUGGUAUCUAUGAUGUCAUAUCUUCAGUUUUGUUCUUUGUCACUGGUUAAUUUUUCUUGAUCUUCCUUGCUGGAUUCUCUUCCUCUAUCCUCAGGAAAUAUUGGUGCAUCUCAAUGAUAAGUCCUGGGACUGCAUCUUUUAACCCACUCCCUCCCUAGGUGACCUCAUGUGUUCUUGUGGCUUUCAACAUCCACUGUAGUCUAUAUGCUGAUGACUUCCAAAUCCAUUUGUCUAGCCUGACUCUCCCCUGAACCCCAAACUCAUUUAUCCAACUGCUGUUGGCAUCCUCUUAAAUGUCAAAUAGGAAUCUCCAAUUUAAUGUGUCUAAAGUGGAAGCAUUGAUCCCCCCAAACCCAGUCCUUCCCCACACCCAAUUGUUCAACCCCCAAACUGAUGGUCAUCCUGAUUCCUCUCUCUGUCUCAUUACCUACAUCCAAUUAUUCACCAAGUUGGUGUCAGUUUUUACCUAAAUCAUAAAUCUCAAGUUCAUCCAUUUCUUACUGUCUUUAUUGAUUUUACCUAGUUUCAAGCCACAGGCAUCUUCUUACAACUAUAAUAGCUUUUAACAAGUUUCCUUGCUCUACUACAUUUAUGAUGCUACAACCCAUUCUUUACAUAAAGGUAAAAUUGUCCUUUUUUGGCUUUUUAUUAUGAAGAUUCUCAAACAUACACAAGUGGACAGAGAGUAGCAUGAGCUACACCUGUCACCCAGCUUUAGCGGUUAUCAAUUCAUGGCAGUCUGUUUCAUUGAAAACCCCAUUGAUUUCCUUGACUCCUCUAGGAUUUUGACACAAAUCCCAGACAUCAUAUCAUUUCACCCCUAAAUAUUUCAAUAUAUAUCUAUAAAUAAGCACAAGGCCAUUAACAUAUCCUUAAACAUUAAUAAUUUAAAACAGCAUCAAAUAUUCAAAAAAUGUAUUUCUGAAUGUCUCAUAAAGUAUAAUUUUUUACAGUCAGGUUAUUUGAAUCAAGAUCCCAAUAAGGAGCACAUAUUGCAACUGGUUGAUAUGUCUCUGGGGUUCUCCUUCCAUUGAUAUCUCACUCCUUCACAUGCUUUUUUCUCCUCCUUUCAAUUUACGUGUUUACAAAACCAGAUUGUUUGCCCUGUAGAGUUAUAGUCUAGAUUUUGCUGAUUGCAUCUCUGUGGCUAACGUAACAUGUUCCUUAAUGUCAAAAACUGCUAAGAUGGCUUCAUAGGUGGUAUUGUAUUCUUCCAUCAGAAGUCAUGUGUUUAAUUGCAUGUCUUUUUGUGAUGUUAGUAGCCAUUGUGCUUUAUGCCUAAAUCUAUUAAUUCAUUAGAGGUUGCAAAAUAGGGAUAUUCUAAUUGUAUCAAUUCUUCGCUUAUUUGCAGGAAUACUCAUGUAAAUGAGGAACUUUCUUUUGUCUACUUUUUUAGGUUACCUAGUGGUAAAGUUUGUAUAGGAAUAGAUUUACCUUAUUUUUUAAAGAUUUUUUUUUUGACGUGGACCAUUUUUAAAGUCUUCUAUUGAAUUUGUUACAAUAUUGCUGCUGUUGGAUAUGUUUUGGUUUGUUUUUUUUUUUUGCGGUAUGCGGGCCUCUCACCGCUGUGGCCUCUUCUGCCGCGGAGCACCGGCUCUGGACGCGCAGGCCCAGCAGCCAUGGCUCACAGGCCCAGCCGCUCCACGGCACGUGGGAUCCUCCCGGACCGGGGCACGAACCUGCGUCCCCUGCAGCGGCAGGCGGACUCUCAACCACUGCGCCACUAGGGAAGCCCUGUUUUGUUUUUUUGGCCACGAUGCAUGUGGGAUCUUAACUCCCCAACCAGGGAUGGAACCCACACCCCCUGUACUAGAAGGUGAAGUCUUAAUCACUGGACCACCAGGAAAGUCCCUAGAUUUUACUUUUUAAAAACAUAAAUUGGAUCACAUCUCUGCCCUGCUUAAAGUCUUCCUGUGGCAUCUUUAUGCACACAGAAUGAAAUCUAUGGCCAGCACACACACUGUAUGGGCUCCUCCAUCAUUUUUUCGUCGUGUUCCAUCAUAGUGUCUACUUUUUUGUUGAAAUUUAAAUUAAAUUAAAAACUUGAAGUUUAUGGGAAAGGGUCAAGCCCUUUUCUGCCCCAGGAGUUUUGUACUUGCUUAUCCUUCUGCCUGGCCAUCUUCCCCCACUUUCUGCCUAGUGGGCUCCUUCUUGACCUUCAUGCUGAAAUGUCAUCUCAUCAAGGCCUUCUCUGACUGCUUCAUUUAAGGGGCCUGCUCUCCCUCAUUGUAGCUCCUGUUUAAUUCCUUUAUAGCAUCCAUCACAAACUAUAGCUAUCUUCUUUAUUUGUUUAUUAAUCAUUUUCCACCAAGUAUGCUAGCUUUGUAAGAGCAAGGAUUUUUCCUGUCCCAUACACCACUGAAUCCCAAGGCACAGCACAAUGUCUGGCACACAGUGGGUGCUUUUCUUUUUUGAAUCAACACCACAAACUUGCUGCACAUCCUCACCGAUAUAAGUGGAACACAGGGACGGGCUAGAUGAUUGUCUUUAACAUUGUUCUCUGAGGACAUAGAGACCAAGGCCAAGCUCGUCUAGUGCAGUGCUUCCUGAAUGCUUUAUGUUGUGGCACCUGGAGCAAAUGAUGUCUGAUAGGGUAGGCCACUGAGGCUGGCUGGUGGCUCACAGCCAGGGACUCAGUCCCGGCUUUCCGCACCUGGCUUGGUGCCUGAACAGACGGCCAUAGGAGUUGGGUUACAGAGAGCAUUUCUGGACUUACGGGGGUGGGCUUAUAGAUUUAGGGCAGGGUAUUCUUUUGAGUGUAUACUUUGAGGGCUCCCUGACUUUUAUGACUGUCAGGGACUCAGAGGAUUGGGACUUCCUGCAUGUCCACAGGGUUCUGAAAUCCCCCUUUCCUCUGAAAAGUCACUUUCUUCUUCAGGAAAUCCCACCAAUUUCACACUAUUUCAAAGCAUCCUCUUUUACAAUGCAAAUACUUUGGGCUUGGUUGAGAAGAUUAUGAGUAUUUUUCCUUCGUGUGAAGUAGCUUAACCAGGCUGCUUUCUUCAUAAAAUCUGAGGUAUCUAAGUUGGGUUUAGUUUAAGAGAGUCAAGGGGGAAGGGGGCAAUUUUGGAGUUUGUUUCCUUGUGUGGGCUGGAGGAGGACAGUGUGACCCAGCACAGUGGACUCAUGCGAUGAGCAAGGCUGGCUUGGACCCCCUAGGGGUGGAGACGAGGGCUUAAGUCAGCCAGCCCCAAAGUUCAGUUUCCUUAAUGCCGGAGGUUCAAGACUUUUACCCAAGAUUGCUUCAGUGAAUAUGAUGUUCAUUACCAAUGUAGGGUACAGAGAAGACCUGGAAUAGACUCCCUACUGUGUAGAAAUUCACUGAGGUCAGCAGCCACACAUAGAGGGGCCAGCCUGCCCCUGACAGCAGAAAGGCAAUGCCAGUGUGCUACAGCAUGUGAUCGGUGCACAGACCCAUCCACUCAUGCAAACUGCAACUUCUGCUUUCCCAGAAAUGCUCCUGGAACUACGGCUGCCUCCUCUUCUUCUCCCAGAAACCAGAUGCGAAGAGAUUAGCCUCUUGGGAAGACAAGGCCAGAAAUAAGGGGAACCCAGGUCAUUGCCCAAUUGGAAGACAGGUUUUCCUCCUUCACCCGACCUGCUCCCACAUCUUGAUAAAUUCCCCGGCCACUUCCGGUCCACACCUCUGUGGACAGGGGCUUGCACUCUGCUGAAGCAGAACUUGGAGAAGCUCUUCUAGAGUGGUCAUGCUGAGGCAGCCACAGUAUGAAAGGAUUUGCAGGCAUGCAGUUACAUACUUGGUAAACUACAGUGAGCCCUAAUCUUGCGACCUCUUUCUCAUUAUAUUGGAAAUGCACGUGGGUUUUCAUUCUCCUUUGGUGUGCUGACACGACAUGCUGAGGGGCUCCUUGCAUUCCUAACGUACUUAGGACAUUGACCCAGUUUCAUUCUUGCCUACCGCAAUAUCUUAGCUUUCUUGAUAGCAGAUAUUCCCAGCCUGAUUCCUGACUAACAAAGAGGUGG